GCCCAAAUAGCUCUGUUGGUAGAGCUUGAGACUCAUUAUCUCAGGGUAGUGGGUUUGUGUCCCAUGUCGGGCA
This 73-nucleotide transfer RNA is filed under the name Lepisosteus oculatus (spotted gar). It matches the Rfam family "tRNA". Rfam says of the family: Transfer RNA (tRNA) molecules are approximately 80 nucleotides in length. Their secondary structure includes four short double-helical elements and three loops (D, anti-codon, and T loops). The record is from Rfam by way of RNAcentral. Lineage: Eukaryota; Metazoa; Chordata; Actinopteri; Semionotiformes; Lepisosteidae.